Molecule: long non-coding RNA, 1675 nt
Organism: Chinchilla lanigera (long-tailed chinchilla)
Lineage: Eukaryota; Metazoa; Chordata; Mammalia; Rodentia; Chinchillidae
Source: Ensembl
AGAAUAGUCAAUGAAUAUUCAGUUGGUCACUCAUGUAUAGCUCUAUUUAUUUUCUUUAGAAACCAGUUUGAAGAUACCAAAGUACAGUACAACAACCAUUGAUAAUAACCAACCACUUUUGUCUGUAGCUCACUAUUAUUUGUCUGUGUAUGUUCCUGAGAAUCUGUCUUGCAGAUUACAAUAUGUAGAACAACAACCAUUGAUAAUUUCCUACCACUUUGUCUGUAAUUCGGACGAUUUUCACAAAGAUUCCAAGGUAUACCUAUAUAGAUCCUGAUUUUGAAUAUAGUGAAAUUGAAAAAAUUGAGAAGAAAGUAAAUCGAACGUACUAUUCAAAUCAUAUCAACAGUUUAAGACGUAUGCGCCUGCAGAAAGAAGCAAUGAGUAAGAAAAUCGUGUAUUCAGACAAUGCUCCAGAGGUAAACAUGCUGCUAGCAUCCGGUCUAAAGUCGCCCUCACUCUCUCAAGAGGAAAUACAAGAGGAGUGGUCUUCCAUGGAGUAUCCAAUCAAAGCUAGCCAAUUGUUAUGCACCAAGGGAAUGGCAUCCAAGGAGAGAGUGUCCUUGGAGAGAAAGGUUCUCAAAAAACUGAAACCAAACCCAACCACUCCUCAAGAAAAACAUGAUUGCAGCAUAAUUUUGACACCGAAGCAAAUUCAUCAAGUAAUUGUCGGGCCCUCUGUCCUUAACUUUGGUAAUAUUUGUGUGAACUCCACAAAUACGCAUUCAUUGCAUCUUAUUAAUAUGCUGUCUAUGCAUAUUUUGAUUCAGUUAGAUAUCAAUUUUGAAGAACUUAAGAAAACUAAAAUAUUUUCACAUGUGAUUCCUCCUACAUCUAGUACUCACAUUCCAAUAAUAUUUGAAGCUUCUGCCAUUGGAAAAUUUUGGAGGUCUUUCGCCUUCACAGGAAACAGCACACCUGGUGGGCACAUUUUAGUGACCGCAGAAGUCCUGCCUAUAAAACUUGAGCUAUCUUUGGAUGAGAUAGUGUUGAAACCACGAGGUUUCUUGGUGAAAACAUGCUUCUGGGGGACAGUUAAGUUGUAUAAUCAUCAGAAUAAGUCUGCGCAGUUUGGAUGGCAACCAGUAAACUCACUAAACGGGAUAGCGUUUUCCAUUCGUCCAGCUAAAGGCAUUGUUGAAGCAUAUUCAUCACUGAAAUGUGAGGUAACGUGGCACCCAGGUUUCACUUCUCCAGCAAGAGGCAAAUUUAUUCUUCAUGUUAUUGAUGGAAACACGUUAACACUACAGUGUAUUGCAAAUGUAAUUAUUUCUCCUGAACAUAAUUUUUUAUCUUGAUGCUGGUAAUUUUUGAAUAUUUGCAUAUGUCUCUACUUAAAUAUGUUUCAUGCAUGUAUAACUAUAUAAUGUAUGCAAGAACUGACCUCUGUGCAGUAUUUAAUUAACCAAAUUGUCUUAGGUCUUUCACGGAUCCUUUUGCCUACCAUGAAUGAAGGCUUUCAUAUAAACAUGUUAUGUUAAUUAAAAUUAGCUCAAAUUGAACAUAGUUUUGGAAAAAUACUAGGCUAUCACUCUGUAAAUACAUAAUAACAUCAUGUGAGCCACUUGAAAUAAAAUUAUUUCAUUAGUAGAUAAAAGAAAAGUAGACUUAUAUUUGACCCUAGUGUAUUGCACUAUUAAUAUUGUAGUAGCAGUAGUUAAUAAUGCAGUAUAGA